RNAcentral lists this ribosomal RNA (492 nucleotides) under uncultured bacterium. RNAcentral describes it as "partial 16S ribosomal RNA". It matches the Rfam family "Bacterial small subunit ribosomal RNA", at positions 28 to 507 of the family's 1533-position model. The record is from RNAcentral.
GAUGAACGCUAGCUACAGGCUUAACACAUGCAAGUCGAGGGGAAACGGCAUCGAAAGCUUGCUUUUGCUGGGCGUCGACCGGCGCACGGGUGAGUAACGCGUAUCCCACCUGCCCAUCACUUGGGAAUAACCUUGCGAAAGUAAGACUAAUGCCCAAUGACAUCCCACGAAGGCAUCCGAAUGGGAUUAAAGAUUUAUCGGUGAUGGAUGGGGAUGCGUCUGAUUAGCUUGUUGGCGGGGUGACGGCCCACCAAGGCAACGAUCAGUAGGGGUCCUGAGAGGAAGGUCCCCCACAUUGGAACCGCGACCCAGUCCACACGCCUACGGGAGGCAGGAGUGACGAAUAUUGGGCGAUGGGCGAGAGCCGGAACCAGCCAAGUAGCGUGCAGGAGGCCGGCGCUAUGAGUUGUAAACUGCUUUUAAAAGGGAAUAAAGUGGGUCACGUGUGACUUUUUGCAGGUACCUUAUGAAUAAGGACCGGCUAAUUCCGUG